RNAcentral lists this ribosomal RNA (760 nucleotides) under uncultured bacterium. RNAcentral's name for it is "bacterial SSU rRNA". It matches the Rfam family "Bacterial small subunit ribosomal RNA", at positions 28 to 776 of the family's 1533-position model. The record is from RNAcentral.
AUUGAACGCUGGCGGCAGGCUUAACACAUGCAAGUCGAACGGUAAACAGGGAGAAACUUGUUUCUCUGCUGACGAGUGGCGGACGGGUGAGUAAAUGCUUGGGAAUCUGCCUAUGGAGGGGGAUAACCACUGGAAAACGGUGGCUAAUACCGCGUAAUAUCUUCGGAUUAAAGUGUGGGACUUUCGAGCCACACGCCAUAAGAUGAGCCCAAGUGAGAUUAGGUUGUUGGUGAGGUAAUGGCUCACCAAGCUUACGAUCUCUAGCUGGUUUGAGAGGAUGACCAGCCACACUGGGACUGAGACACGGCCCAGACUCCUACGGGAGGCAGCAGUGGGGAAUAUUGCACAAUGGGCGCAAGCCUGAUGCAGCCAUGCCGCGUGAAUGAAGAAGGCCUUAGGGUUGUAAAGUUCUUUCAUUAGUGAGAAAGCGGUUAUAUCUAAUAGGUGUAACCAUUGAUGUUAGCUAAAGAAGAAGCACCGGCUAACUCCGUGCCAGCAGCCGCGGUAAUACGGAGGGUGCGAGCGUUAAUCGGAAUGACUGGGCGUAAAGGGCACGCAGGCGGUUAUUUAAGUCAGAUGUGAGAGCCCCGAGCUUAACUUGGGAAUUGCAUUUGAUACUGGGUAACUAGAGUCCUCUAGGGAGGGGUAGAAUUCCAUGUGUAGCGGUGAAAUGCGUAGAGAUGUGGAGGAAUACCGAAGGCGAAGGCAGCCCCUUGGAGAGAGACUGCCCUCAUGUGCGAAAGCGUGGGUAGCAAACAGG